RNAcentral lists this long non-coding RNA (3360 nucleotides) under Prunus persica (peach). RNAcentral describes it as "long non-coding RNA (PPER_LNC000049)". The record is from RNAcentral. Lineage: Eukaryota; Viridiplantae; Streptophyta; Magnoliopsida; Rosales; Rosaceae.
AAUGCUUACAUAUAUGCCCCGUAUGAUGGUAUUAUUUGUAAAAAUAGUUUUGGAGGAGAAGAAAUUGGCAUUUUUACAAUGUGAAAGACUUUUACAAAGGAUUAAGACCUUAAUUACACAAGUGUCCCUCCAGUCACAUACUCGGUGAAGACUAAAGCUACCACCAGACCUAACAUGGCCAAACUUCCAUUCAACAACUCAGCAUCUGACAUCUGAUUUUGACUCCACGCUCACUCCUUUGAACAGAGGUAUCAAAGAUGCCACUGUUAGCAAAAUACUAGUGCCAACGAACAACGAGACUCCACCGUUGGAUAUCUGAGAAAACACAUCCUCGCCCUUGGAUAGCUCUACUGCCACAACAGGGGAAAUAAGCUUUACUAAAGGAGAAAUAUCAACUGGUAGCUCUACCUCUACGCCCCAGCAAGGAUACCCUCCCCACAAAAUAGGAGACCAACAGAAACCAAAGACAGAGGUGGCUGAUCGGCCCAACUUUCCAGUUCUGUAUUUAUGAGUAUAUUUGGUCCCACAUUAGCAUGACAAGAAUGUUUGUCAUAAAACAGAGGAUGUUUUUAGUAAUAAGCUUUAUUGGCCUUCUUCAACUAGAAAGUGUUUAGUGUCUAGUGUUUAGGCUUAUUGGCCUCCUUCCUAAUUUUGGCUUAUUGCCCUUUAUCACUAGCUUGAUUACAAACGGAAAGCUUAAUGCCUAUUUAUAGAGGGAACAAACCAAGUAGUAAAAUCGGUUAUUCUAGUAAACCGACAUUAACUUGUAAUUCCAGCCACAUAUUGUAGCUUCAAUUGAGUUAGUGACUAGUGUUUAGGGAAUAGACUUUGCAUAAAUUAUUCUAGAAAAUUCUCUGCUAGCUUGUAGAAGUCUCCACCAAAUGUGCAUUAUUUUUCAACAACUUAUAAACUGGUUCAAGACUUUUCAACCUUAAUGACUUCAGAGUGAUAAACACGAAAUAAACUACUUGUAGAAUAAGUUAUGAUCAAAGACGAUAAACUUGACUUCAAGUCAUUACAUUAAUGGAAGAGGGUCCGUGCAUAUGGAAUCUGCUCCGCGAACAAGAAUGUGUGUGGUGAUGAUGAUCAAUGACUUAUAAUCUGGUUCAAGACUUUUCAACCUAAAUAACUUUAGAGUGAUAAAUACGAAAUAAACUACUUGGUUUCUCUCUCUUCUUUCAUAAUUCAUCACACACGUUAUUGUGAGAAAAGUCGACGUACUCAAAGAAACAUAUACCGCAUUACAUGUAAGUUUCUCUCAUUGAAAUGCGACGUGGUUAUGUUUCUCUCAUUGUAACGGACGUGGCUGCAGCACAUACAUAUGCGCGCUAGUCAGUGGUGACAUUAAUUUGUUCAGGGUCUUCACUUUUUUGAUGCUUUGAGCAGGACGGCCGAUGUCUCACGGGGCCACGAGUACGUUAGUAAUAGCAGUCAAACUGGCCCUUCCCUGUCAUUGAAGAAAAAAUACAGAUGAUUACAUAUACGUGCUCUGGCUCUCUCACAGUCAGUUGCAUUUGUUCGAUAGCUUGGAGAGCCUUAUGGACAUUUUUUGUUGUGUUGUCCAUACAUGGUGGUACGAGGGACGUGGCUCCCCAGACACAGCACAACGUCUCAGUCACUGAUUUCUGAGGUCCCAUUUGUUCAAGGUUUUCACUUUGUAUUGUAGCUUGGCACUUGCAUAUGCACAACACAAAGAAUCUUAGCUGUAUGCACGGAUUCUUAUGGAACAAAGCUACUAAGCUAGUGUGACAUUUCGUAAUUGGAAAAAUUGAGUGAUUAGCUUAAUAAGUUGAGUGACAUUUCGUAAUUGGCCCCAAUAAAUUCAUGUUAAUUUCACUGCGGGGUAUGAUAUAUUAGCCUAAAAGGCAUCCAAAGUGAUUUUUCAGAAAUUGUUUUUAUGAUCCAGAAAUACUUUAAAGUUAUUUUUUUCUUAUUUUGCCAACCCAUAUUACUUUUGGUUGCUUUUAAUCCUUUCAAAAUCAAUCCCAAUAAAGACACGUAGAUCAAUAUCACACCACACCACACCUACCUUACUCCUUGGAUGCCCUUCUUUCGGAUAUAAUUCUUUUCUAGGUGUAUACGUAUAAGGUUGGGUUUGGAGUAAUCAAACUCACAUGGAAGAUCCCUAUUUUAACAUGGUCAUCAAGCAACAUGUGUUUGUUUUUUUUUUCAAUAUUGAUGUGCGUAAUUAAGAAUUUUUUAACAGGUGGGCUAACUAAAUUUUAUUAUUAAUUUAAUAAUUAUUUUUUGAUGGAAACUUUUUUUUAAUAAUUAUUUUUUGAUACUUACAGUUUCUAUAGUUUUUUUUAGAAAUAAAUGUAUACAUUAAAUCACAUAAAUCAUGCUAAUUGUAAACACAAUAAUAAUAAAAAUUGAAAUUAGAGCCAUAUUAUUCACAAAAUGGUGAAUUUUAUUUAUAAAAAUGCUUCUCUUUUAGAGAUAAAUUAAUGAAAAAAUUAUUAAAAUUGAUGUUGGCACAAUCACCAAAUACAAACGUGGAAGACUUCUGGCUAUAUAUAUGCCUAUUGGUGUAGAUAAUGUAUGAAAUUGUAUAUUUAUUUAUUUAUUUUUGGAUUAAAAUACUGAGCUAUAUAUAGGUUUUUUUUUUCCUUUCCCAAAAACCUUCCCUGGGCUACAGCCCAUGGCGGCAUCAAUGUUUGAUACUUGAGAGAGACUAAUUAAGCAUUAUCUUUAGGCUUAAUGAUAUUAAGGGUAUGCAUAUUAAGAUCAUGGAGUAUGAAAAUUGUGAUAUUCUUAUAAAGAUUCGUACAGACUAAUUACAUGUGGAAAAGUUCUACAACAAUGAUUAAGACCUACACUAGGGUUCCUCCCUUCACAUACUCAGUGAAGGCCAAAGCUACCAGACCUAACAUGGCCAACCUUCCAUUCCACAGCUCAGCAUCUGAAGUCAUUAUCCCAUCUGAUUUCGACUCCACGCUCACCCCUUUGAACAGAGGAAUCACAGAUGCCACCGAUAGCAAAAUGCUUGUGGCAAGGAACAAGGACACUCCACCGUCGGAUAUCUGAGCAAACACAUCCUGCCCCUUGGAUAGCUCCACUGCCAGAGCUGAAACAAACCCCACCAUUGCAAGCCUGCCGUUGAUCCUCUCUGGGGCUGGCCCACUGAAUGCAAACACAUCGGAGAACUUUGUGCUAACCUUAGGACUACGCUUAGGAGAAGGAGUAGGUGUAGGAGGUGGUGGAGGAAUUCUAGAUGCCUCUGGUGUUGUAGAUGGUUGCUCUUCCUGACCAUUCUGCACAUGAAACAUUAAUUAAUCAUGGUUCAUUAGGAUCACUAAUUUAAUUACUACAGCUAAAACUGCACAUAACCCAAAAGACAAAUACAAUUCAGGCACCAAG